This 301-nucleotide ribosomal RNA is filed under the name uncultured bacterium. Its description in RNAcentral is "partial 16S ribosomal RNA". It matches the Rfam family "Bacterial small subunit ribosomal RNA", at positions 509 to 809 of the family's 1533-position model. The record is from RNAcentral.
CAGUCGCCGCGGUAAUACGGAGGGUGCAAGCGUUAUCCGGAUUUAUUGGGUUUAAAGGGUCCGUAGGCGGACUUAUAAGUCAGUGGUGAAAGCCUGUCGCUUAACGAUAGAACUGCCAUUGAUACUGUAAGUCUUGAGUAUAUUUGAGGUAGCUGGAAUAAGUAGUGUAGCGGUGAAAUGCAUAGAUAUUACUUAGAACACCAAUUGCGAAGGCAGGUUACCAAGAUAUAACUGACGCUGAGGGACGAAAGCGUGGGUAGCGAACAGGAUUAGAUACCCCAGUAGUCCCUGUCUCUUAUAA